Molecule: transfer RNA, 55 nt
Filed under: Crassicauda magna
Lineage: Eukaryota; Metazoa; Nematoda; Chromadorea; Rhabditida; Tetrameridae
Also listed under: 1 other name
Description: tRNA-Asp
Source: RNAcentral
AAAGUUUUAUUAUAAUUUAGUAUUUAUUAUUGUCUGUAAUAUGGUUGAAACUUUA